CUAGUUGGUUAAUACUCAAGCAUUUCUAUUUACAGAAUUUUGUGUUAUAAUAUAAACUUCACACAGAAAUGCUAGAAUCGUCCAUAGAUUUGGCACUGCCAUUACAGCUAAAGACUUGAUAACACCACCUGUUCAAGUAGAGCACACCCAACUGCUAAUCAAUGGGCAAUUUGUGGAUUCGGCAUCAGGGACAUCAGUAACAAUAGCAUUCAUGGCGUAAUUCCUUUAUUUUUGCCCCCCAGUGCAACCCAUAUAAACCUGGCAUUCAAACGGCUGAGACAGAAUAUUCCAUUCUCCCUAGCUUCCUUGAAAUAUCUCUGUUAUUUGUAAGUUCUUGCAAUGAGUGAGGUUUGUACAUACUGGCUUUUUUGGUUGCAUUAUUUAGUACCAUAUGAGCAGCAGCACCAA
Long non-coding RNA from Magnolia sinica, 408 nucleotides. RefSeq lists it as uncharacterized. The transcript is spliced from 3 exons. The record is from RefSeq and is a predicted model, not a curated record. NCBI's taxonomy places the organism in Eukaryota, Viridiplantae, Streptophyta, Magnoliopsida, Magnoliales, Magnoliaceae.